CUGCCAGUGAUAAACUGGAGGAAGGUGGGGAUGACGUCAAGUCAUCAUGGCCCUUACGACCAGGGCUACACACGUGCUACAAUGGCAUAUACAAAGAGAAGCGACCUCGCGAGAGCAAGCGGACCUCAUAAAGUAUGUCGUAGUCCGGAUUGGAGUCUGCAACUCGACUCCAUGAAGUCGGAAUCGCUAGUAAUCGUAGAUCAGAAUGCUACGGUGAAUACGUUCCCGGGCCUUGUACACACCGCCCGUCACACCAUGGGAGUGGGUUGCAAAAGAAGUAGGUAGCUUAACCUUCGGGAGGGCGCUUACCACUUUGUGAUUCAUGACUGGGGUGAAGUCGUAACAAGGUAACCGUAGGGGAACCUGCGGUUGG
This 373-nucleotide ribosomal RNA is filed under the name Klebsiella pneumoniae. RNAcentral's name for it is "bacterial SSU rRNA". It matches the Rfam family "Bacterial small subunit ribosomal RNA", at positions 1149 to 1521 of the family's 1533-position model. Lineage: Bacteria; Pseudomonadati; Pseudomonadota; Gammaproteobacteria; Enterobacterales; Enterobacteriaceae. The record is from RNAcentral.